This 253-nucleotide ribosomal RNA is filed under the name uncultured bacterium. RNAcentral describes it as "partial 16S ribosomal RNA". It matches the Rfam family "Bacterial small subunit ribosomal RNA", at positions 524 to 776 of the family's 1533-position model. The record is from RNAcentral.
GACAGAGGGUGCAAACGUUGCUCGGAAUUACUGGGCGUAAAGCGCGUGUAGGUGGAUUGGUGUGUCAGAUGUGAAAGCCCUGGGCUCAACCCAGGAACUGCACCUGAAACUACCAGUCUUGAGUGGUGGAGAGGGAAGUGGAAUUCCUGGUGUAGAGGUGAAAUUCGUAGAUAUCAGGAGGAACACCAGUGGCGAAGGCGGCAUCCUGGACCGACACUGACGCUGAGGAGCGAAAGCCAGGGGAGCAAACGGG